This 73-nucleotide transfer RNA is filed under the name Streptomyces reniochalinae. RNAcentral describes it as "Streptomyces sp. LHW50302 tRNA-Asn". It matches the Rfam family "tRNA". Rfam says of the family: Transfer RNA (tRNA) molecules are approximately 80 nucleotides in length. Their secondary structure includes four short double-helical elements and three loops (D, anti-codon, and T loops). Lineage: Bacteria; Bacillati; Actinomycetota; Actinomycetes; Kitasatosporales; Streptomycetaceae. The record is from RNAcentral.
UGACUAGUAGCUCAGUCGGCAGAGCAGCGGAUUGUUAAUCCGUGGGUCGUUGGUUCGAAUCCAACCUAGUCAG